AAGGGAAUAACUGGUGUCUGAAUGGAUAGCAAUAUUAGGCAUAAGACAGAGAAAUAAAAGACUCUUUAUUAUCUGCACCGUUCUUUUAAAGCAAUUUAAAGUCCUCAGCCAUUCUGGCAUUUUUUGACUAAGUAUGCUCAGAAUCUACAGUACUGCCCUUGUAGUUUUUCCAUCAGCUUAACAAGUUAUAUAGCUUGCACAACAGCUGAUUAUCUUCUAGUUGCAUACCAUCAGUUAUAAUCCAAUAAUAGUGUUUCACAUUCCAGAAGGUAUCGCUUAUAUCCUCUUCUGUUGGAGGAAAGAACAAAUAUAAAAUACAGAAAAGUCACCAAAAUAGUAGCAGACUAUAUCUUCUGGUAAUAAACCUGAAAGUCUGAGGAGAAAAGAUUAGAUCAAAAGGACCAGGAGACCAAACCACUCUUUCCCCUUUCUCUAGGGUGAACUAAUCUCUGCAGGUCAAGGUUCAGCACAGUAGCUCAGCAGGAAGGAGUUGGUGAUGGAGUGAUAAGUCAGGCGGUCAAAGUGUGAGAUCUGAGCCUGCUAAGAAAUAUGUGGUUGUAAAUGCAAACAUCUACUAUCUAUGUGCUCUUCAACAUCAACAACACAAGGCAGUAUUAAAAGUCUUUCCUGUACUUCUCUCUCAGCCAGGUCUGCUUCUGCCUUAUUUUUUUGUGUGAAAAGAAUUAACCAUUUCUAAAGAAUAUACUACCAGAAAAAAGCUUCCUCAUUCUCUUAGAGGUAUCUGAGCAAUGCUGGGACUUUGCCAUAGGAUCACAUGAUGAACUCAACAAACCCUGGUCACACAAGAAAAUCCAGAGACUUUAAUUAACAGAAAACAAAUGCCAUGAAAUUCCACAUUUUUCUAGUGCCUUCUGAAUUCCCUUCAAAAGAAUGAGAAGAUGGCAGAAAAAUUUAUUUAUUUUUACUAGACACAUGAGAAGACAAGUCUGGAGCUAAGAAGUCAGUCUAAGAUCAGGUUUGGGACCCUAAAAGCCUAAGCAAGGCAAAUAUAUGAAAAUGAAGAUAUGAAGCAGAGCAAAGCUCUGUAAACAGAGGCUGGUACAGACUAAUACUCUUAUAAAUACUGUGACAUUUAUUCUGUAUUGAAUAACUUAUUUAUUUUAUUUAGUCCUGUUUCAGAGCUUCAUUGGAAGAUUGUCAUGAUGGGCAAAAGUGAGAAGAUUAUAAACUGUGGCCAAAGAAGGGGAAAUAAAAAGGUUGCUGUAAUACCAAUAAAAGUGAAUUACAUAUUUUGCAUGUGAUCUGAUGGGAAAUAUUUGAUAGAAACAUCACCAAUAGGCAGAAAUUUGUGAGUUUGGAUGUGAAAAUAUGUCAUAAUACAUUCAUGAAGGUGAAACACCUCCCACACAGUUGGAGUAGGAUUAAUUAUGCCUUUCAAAGCAGAACAAUCCCUUAUGGGCUGCCAGACAUUUAACAGACUAUUGUCAGAGUCAGUUCUACAACUGCCUACUUUUGCUGAGGUAUUACAAAAUAAGACAUCAGCUAGGCAACAGAUAUCUGCAGUGCCAAGGCUAGAAAGGACAAUAAUAAGCAGAGAUAUGACACAGAAGCACAAUUGUGACUCCCAGAAUCAAAAGAGUGGAAAAACUGAGUCUCACACUUCCAAGCACGAACAUCUUAUAGAGUAGCCACAAUAGUACUCCCUUCCCCUAGCUCUCUGCCCUAUCCCUUUCUUGCAUUUUUUUUUUUAAAUCCCUUCUGCAUGGAUGGCUCAGAUGCCUGUGCAAAACAAUUUAGGCAAUAAAACUGAUAGUUUUGUUUCCUUAGGUAUCCUGAAAUUUGUUCCAGCGUACCAUUAUGAACCCAUCUGCAAAAGACAAUGGCAAUGAAGCAGAACUUUACCCAACCUAGGAAAAGGAUUUAUUGUGAGAGGGUCAGGACUAAGGAGUUCCAACCACUCAAAAGCAAGCUGGUCCCUCUCUGGAGAGUUUUCAGGAUGUGCUGAGCAGAUGAACGUCAAGGGAAGCAACGGCAUGGAGGAAAAACUUCAACAUAUGGCAAAAGACAUCUUGCUUUACAAAGAAGGAAUUGAAAGAUUCAAAAUUAAAACUAAACGGAGGUGACAUACACUGUGGAUCUUGCAUGUCAUCCUGCCUAGACUUCGGAGGAGGCUCUGCACUGAUUCAUGCCUCACCAACCUUCAUUUGUGCCAUGUCUUGCAACACACAGUGUGAUGGAGGCCUGUAGUGCACCUAAAAAAAUGGAGCAUGUGCCUGCAGAACCAAUGAAAUACAUCAAAUUGAGGUAAUUAUACCUAUUCCAGACCUCAGAAAAUGUAGGCACUGUUGGGUGGGAAAUGCUGUGCCUAGAAGAAAAGGUUGGGUGUUUUCUUAGGUUAACCUAAAGCCCUUGAUCUGUUUUGAGACAUGGAACAUGACUUGGGGAGAUUAGCUGGAGGACAUAUUUAGACAACAGUGCUAAGAGUCUUAACAAUGCCAGGUUAGCAGAGCUGGGUGACAUUUACAGCUCCACCCAUCUAUGCAUCGAGUUCUCUCUUUCGGCAGUCAUGAAAGAACAUUCAUCAUACAAUGCUUCUUACUCUUCUAGAAAUUCAUACAGAUGACAACUUACAGAAGUUUGCAAUAGAAAAAUGAUUUCACAGUUUAACAGGCAUCAUAUAAUGUAAAUAUUCUGUUUUAAAAGAAUAAGCAAUGUGAUUAAGCAGAAAUAAAGGUGGUAUUUGAGUCUGUAAUGAAGAGUAGAGAGAUUUUAUUAGCUCUUUCAUCCAAAAUUAUCAAGGACAGAGAUGAAACUGAGGGAUGAAAUAUUAGAGUCACCUUUUGCUUAAGUUGAAAUCCCUCACCAUAAACAAGUUGUGUACAGGUGGCAGAUUUAUAAAGCAAAAUUAUUUUUAGAAAAGUAAAUUUAAUAAAGAAAAUAUGUUAAUUGAGUUGUUUGAAAAGUGUGCAAUGGCUCAUUUAGCAAUAUAAAAUCUCGAGUACAUACAUACACAUGCAAUUUUAUUUGUCCAGGUACAGAAUGAAUUGCCUUCCUUAUGAAGAAAAUAAUAUUCUUAAGAGGAAAAUAAAUUAUGAAAUAUAGAAUGAAGCAAAAGCUGAUAGACGAUUAAAUAAAAAAUAUUUUUGUGUAUCCUUUAUAUGAAUUCAAAUCAGUAUUUCUUUUCAAUGUAAUGUCACAUCAAGCCAUAAAGAAGAGGGCAUGGGUAGUAGUUAGUUUAGAAUUUUUACUUAGCAUUUUUUUAUCCCACAGACAAAUUCUGAGUUUAUUCUUUCAGACUUUACAUGAAGGACAACAAAAUCUAACCUUGAGCAAUGCCCCAUUCCUUAUGCUUUUGUUCUGUCUUUCACUCUGUUAUGUACUCAGCAACAAAGGUAGGGGGUUUGUUUAUUUUGUUUUGUGUUGUUUUUGGGUUUUGUAGGGGUUUUGUUUAUUGGUUUUUGUUGGGUUUUUUUUUAAGUUUUUUUUUAUCUGGGGAUAAAGAGUCCGUAGGAAACAGAUGUCUUUCCUUUCUGUGAGAUGGAAAUAAAGGUGACUAUAUGAUUAUGUAACCCCUUUCAGUUUGUUUGAGUUAAAAGCCAGUAGAGGGGACCUGUCUUUCUGUGUUUCCCUUUGCUCCCUGCUAUGGAAGGAUAGAAGGAGACAUUGUAAGUCAGGAAUUGCUAACACUGUAGACCUUUAACAGACUGUAGCACACACUGAAUAGCACCACACAGCACCCUGCCCAGAAAACAGCUGUACACGCUGCUUCAGUGAGAGGGUAAAACUGUAAGGCUGUGUUUUCAGCAACUAAAGGUAUCUUCUGCCUUAACAAUAGAGCCAGUGUAUUGAAAUUUCCUCAUGCCAUUCACAAGGAAUUGCAACAGCAUGGAAUCCACCAUGCCAGAGCAUGUUACAUGCCACU
Molecule: long non-coding RNA, 3883 nt
Organism: Parus major (Great Tit)
Lineage: Eukaryota; Metazoa; Chordata; Aves; Passeriformes; Paridae
Exons: 5
Source: RefSeq, a predicted model, not a curated record